Molecule: long non-coding RNA, 934 nt
Organism: Trichoplusia ni (cabbage looper)
Lineage: Eukaryota; Metazoa; Arthropoda; Insecta; Lepidoptera; Noctuidae
Exons: 2
Source: RefSeq, a predicted model, not a curated record
UUUUUAAUUAGAUUUUCAGCUAAUUUGAUUAAUACUGAGGACAGUACUAUUGGGCGGUACGAGGAAAUAUCAGAAGGCGCUUUGUUUGGUUUUAAGAAUGGCAACACCAUUUGACGUUUCCAUUCUUCAGGGAUGUUUCCUGUUGUCAUUACGGUAUUAAUCAACUCCAAAUAGUAACUAAGAAUAUUAUCACUCAGAUGUACGAAAAAUGAGUAUGGAAUGCCAUCUAGACCAGGAGCGGAAUCUACAGUAUUUUGCACAAUCCCCUUUAAUUCACUUAGGGAGAACGGGAGGUGUAAUGUAUUAGUUGUAGACUGUUUCGAACUAUCGGCAUUUGUUCCGCACGGUGCACAACAAAUGUUCUGAGGAACCCAUGGUGGAGCCAAAUGGUCCAGGAAGUCAGAGGCUAAAGAAUCAGGAAUAGCAGGCGUCGGCUGUGUAAAAACGGACCUGAAUUUACGAAUAUUUUGCCAAACUAUAGUAGGGUUUGAUCGUCUCUUUGAAAUAGUUGGCAUAGAGAAUGGGCUGGAAAUAACUAUUGGGAAAUGGUCACUGCCAUAUGUAGAAGAAAGGGUAUUCCAGGUUAGUGAAGAAGCUAGAUUAGGAGAACAAAUGGAUAGAUCCACAGCACUGUUAUUCUGAUUAGGGGCUGACCGCCGAGUGGCGAUACCUGUAUUUAAUAUGCAUAGAUUAUGUUGGUCUAUUAUGUCAAGUAAGUCCUGCCCAUAGUUGCUUGAAAUUGAGCAGCCCCAACAUUGGUGGUGGCAAUUUAAAUCUCCCAUUAUAAUUAAAGGUCUUGGAAGAAUAGAGAAGAGAUGGUUGAUCUCAAGAAGUAAAGAAGAAGAAGGGUGAGGAACAUAAAUAGAGACAAGGCAAAGAUUGUAUACUUUAAUAGCAACAAUUGAAAUGUCCUCACUAUGUGGUGGGAAGGAAA